AUGCUUUUGCUAGAAGACACCCACAGAAAUUCACAAAAGACCUGGCUUCAGUACAAUGGCAUGUAAGAAACUCUGUAGCAACGCCUGCAAGCUCCAAGGUCUGAGAUUUUUUGCUUUGAAAGGCAUUCCUUUGAGCAUGAGCUGAAAACGGGCGCCGUUAAUUGUGGCAUAAGGCAGUCUGCACCUUGACCUUUCUCUAAUCUUAUGGAUUGCUCUGGGUCACAAAACGCUGGGGAUCAGCUACAUGUGCCCCAGCAAAUCUUACUCCUCCAGUUAGGUUGGUCAGAGGGGACUGAUUUGCAGCAUCACAGCUGGCCAGCCAGGAUUCCUGCUGAACCCCUCCCAAGGUGCCAACCUCCCUGCCAACACUGAAUGGCAGACACUAUCCUCUGGUUCCUACCCUCUGGUUCCCAGUGAACUUUCUGACCUCAGUUUUCUACUUUAGAAAAGUUAAAGAAAUACUUUACAUCUCUUAUCUUACUUAAGCAUUCUAUUCAUUUAAGGAAUUAUGCUUUAACUAUACAACACUAUAGGGUGUUUGCAUUAACUACAUAAAGUAUAAUAGUGGAUUAAUAGUGGAAUAACUUCCCUAUGGAAAAUAACUAUAGUUUUUACACUUCCAGAGUUGGAGUGAAAUGCUGCAGGGAUCAGAGAACUCAUUAUUAUUAACUACUUAAAUCCUAAUGUAACAGCUGAACUGAAAAGUUGGGUCAUUUUUCAUUCAGUUGAGAGAUUUGUACAUAUUAUCCUUUCCAAUGCUUCUUGAGCUUUUAUAUCAUGUCAUGUAUCUUUUUUCUUUUUUCUCUUUUUUUAACAGAUCAAGCAUUUAAUCAUUUGAUUUGUCUAGAAUCUCAUUUUAGAAGUCAUUAUUAAAUCCAUCAGGACCUAGAGCAGUAUUAGAAUGAUUUAAUAUCCUUAAACUUCCCCUAUAUUUGCUAGCACUCCUAAUUAUCACAUUAAACAUACCACAAUGACAGAAAAAAUGUAACACAUCAAAAUGAUUAUAAAUGGUUUUGAAAACUUGAAAAUAUUCAUUUUAAAAGGAGAAAAUGUGGCUGCUGAAACAGUCUUUUUAACUACUAUUUAAGGUGUCACAGAACCUCUUUUCAUUUGGCUGUUGACUGCAUUAUUGGAAAUAAUUAGUUAUUUUAAAGGGAUGGCUGAGACAGUUUACUUGCCAUCUCGUAAGCACACUUCAGAGUGCAUUGUGUCAUAUAAAUACAGAGCUAAAAGGACUUUAAAAUCACUAGAUAAGCUAAUUAAUUUUGAAUAGGUCAGAAAAAAAGUUCCAAUUAUAUGCAUCAUGGCUGUUAAGAAGUAGACUCACAUGAUAGAUUAUAUUUCAAAUAUUUAUUGUGUGGGCAUUUGAUUA
Molecule: long non-coding RNA, 1372 nt
Filed under: Coturnix japonica (Japanese quail)
Lineage: Eukaryota; Metazoa; Chordata; Aves; Galliformes; Phasianidae
Description: lncRNA (ENSCJPG00005008082.1)
Source: RNAcentral